Molecule: non-coding RNA, 450 nt
Organism: Schizosaccharomyces pombe (fission yeast)
Lineage: Eukaryota; Fungi; Ascomycota; Schizosaccharomycetes; Schizosaccharomycetales; Schizosaccharomycetaceae
Source: the annotation of a GenBank genome assembly
GAAAACAAGAAAUUGAUUUGUUAAAUUAUAAUACAUUAAAGUAAACAGUAUUAAUAUCAUAAUCAAGCCUUUCUAAGAUGUGAGCCAACCAUUCAUUUAUAUACAACCCAUUCGUAAACAAUUUGUAUACGAUCAAGUAAGUAUGUUUAAACAUUAGAAUAUAAAUAGCUUUGCUGUUUGUUUUAUUAUAUUGCUGCUUUUUUAAACAGCAGCAUAUCUCUUGAGAUCAAUGUGAGUUUAGGACAUGAAGACUUCAAUGAAAGUUUCAAGAUUAGUAAAUUCAUAAUAAUUCACAAGCUAAUUUGUUUCCAGGCAUACAAUAAUUUAACAAUUCAUCGGCAACUUCAAUUAUGUUAAGCCAAGUUAUCAUCCUACUAAAUACUUUUAUCUCUGUAAAAGGCGCCAAACCAUCAUAAAAAUGAUUAACGUCUUAUUAUCAAAGAGAGUAAA